This 253-nucleotide ribosomal RNA is filed under the name uncultured Aquicella sp. RNAcentral describes it as "partial 16S ribosomal RNA". It matches the Rfam family "Bacterial small subunit ribosomal RNA", at positions 524 to 776 of the family's 1533-position model. The record is from RNAcentral. Lineage: Bacteria; Pseudomonadati; Pseudomonadota; Gammaproteobacteria; Legionellales; Coxiellaceae.
UACAGAGGGUGCGAGCGUUAAUCGGAUUUACUGGGCGUAAAGGGCGCGUAGGCGGUAUUUUGUGAGUGAUGUGAAAGCCCUGGGCUUAACCUAGGAAGUGCAUCGCAGACUAAGAUACUGGAGUAGAUGAGAGGGUGGCGGAAUUUCCGGUGUAGCGGUGAAAUGCGUAGAGAUCGGAAGGAACGUCGAUGGCGAAGGCAGCCACCUGGCAUCAUACUGACGCUGAGGCGCGAAAGCGUGGGGAUCGAACAGG